AUUGAACGCUGGCGGAAUGCUUUACACAUGCAAGUCGAACGGCAGCACGGGGGCAACCCUGGUGGCGAGUGGCGAACGGGUAAGUAAUACAUCGGAACGUGCCCAGUCGUGGGGGAUAACUACGCGAAAGCGUAGCUAAUACCGCAUACGAACUCUGGUUGAAAGCGGGGGAUCGCAAGACCUCGCGCGAUUGGAGCGGCCGAUGGCAGAUUAGGUAGUUGGUGAGGUAAAGGCUCACCAAGCCGACGAUCUGUAGCUGGUCUGAGAGGACGACCAGCCACACUGGGACUGAGACACGGCCCAGACUCCUACGGGAGGCAGCAGUGGGGAAUUUUGGACAAUGGGCGCAAGCCUGAUCCAGCCAUUCCGCGUGCAGGAUGAAGGCCCUCGGGUUGUAAACUGCUUUUGUACGGAACGAAACGGUCCUGGUUAAUACCCGGGGCUAAUGACGGUACCGUAAGAAUAAGCACCGGCUAACUACGUG
Molecule: ribosomal RNA, 484 nt
Filed under: uncultured bacterium
Lineage: Bacteria
Description: partial 16S ribosomal RNA
Rfam family: Bacterial small subunit ribosomal RNA
Source: RNAcentral